AUGAUGAGAAUACUAAUUAAAGGGGAAGAGACUUCCCAACCUCCUCCUAUUAUUUCUUAUGAUGAUUCAGGUAACGAGGAGGAGCUUUCUAUUCAACCAAUCCCAUCAAUAAAGAAGGUUGAACCCACACAUAAUGUGAAGAAGAAAAGGAAGAGAAGGGGCAGCAAAGGUAAAAAGGUAUCCCUUGCAAAUGAUGUUGCUCCUACUACUCAUUGUGAUGAUGAUAAUUGCUAUACUAUUGGUGCUAUUCAUACUAUUGAUGAUGAUUACGCUUAUGAUAUGAAAAGGCCCAAGCUUGGGGAAGCUAUGUUUGAUGAGUAUGAAAUAUUUGAGAAUAUAUUUGCUGAAAUUAAUGAUUGUCCCAAGCUUGGGGAUUCUAUGUUUAAUAAAGAUGAUAUUCUUAGCCUCCCAAGUUUUGAUAUGCAAAGUUGUUAUGAUUAUAGCAUGCCUCCUACUUAUGAUGAUUAUAUUGAUGAAAGUGGGUUUGGAAGAGUGUCAACUUUAGGAAGUAGUGAUCCCACUAUUUUGGAGGAUGUUGAAUCUUAUUGUGAUGAAUAUGAAAGUGGAUUUGGAAGAGUGUCAACUUUAUUUAGUGAUUCCACUAUCUUGGAAGAGGUUUUAAUCGAUUAUGAUGAGAACGAAGUUGCUACUUAUGAUGAUUAUUGUGAUGAAACUUAUGCUAUAAAAAUUAGUGAUGAUUAUAUUUAUAAAACUUGUCAUGAUUAUGAUUACCCUUUUUCUGAACAUUACUCUUUUAAUGUGGAAACAAUUUUUAGUGUUCAAGUCUCUUAUGAUACUCCCACCAUUCCGAAUGAGAAGGAUGUUGCUUAUGUGGAGAGUAGUAAAUUUUCUAUGCCUGUAGAUCAUGAAAAGAAUGCUUUAGGUGCUGGUUAUAUUGUUGAAUUCAUUCAUGAUGCUACUGAAAAUUAUUAUGAGGGAGGAAUAUAUGCUUGUAGGAAUAGCAAUAAUGCCAAGUUUCCUCUCUAUGUGCUUAAAAUUUUGAAGUUAUGCUUGCUUUACCUUCCUAUGCUAAUUGAUUAUUGUUCCCAUAAGUUGUUUGCUCACAAAAUCCCUAUACAUAGGAAGUGGGUUAGACUUAAAUGUGCUAGUCAUAUUCUUCAUGAUGCUCUCUUUAUGUUUCAAUUCUUAUCCUUUAUGUGA
This 1161-nucleotide ribosomal RNA is filed under the name Triticum aestivum (bread wheat). Its description in RNAcentral is "partial small subunit ribosomal RNA". The record is from RNAcentral. Lineage: Eukaryota; Viridiplantae; Streptophyta; Magnoliopsida; Poales; Poaceae.